This 437-nucleotide ribosomal RNA is filed under the name uncultured fungus. RNAcentral describes it as "eukaryotic LSU rRNA". It matches the Rfam family "Eukaryotic large subunit ribosomal RNA", at positions 1 to 432 of the family's 3401-position model. Lineage: Eukaryota; Fungi. The record is from RNAcentral.
GACCUCAAAUCAGGUAGGACUACCCGCUGAACUUAAGCAUAUCAAUAAGCGGAGGAAAAGAAACUAACAAGGAUUCCCCUAGUAACUGCGAGUGAAGAGGGAAAAGCUCAAAUUUAAAAUCUGUCAGUCUUUGGCUGACCGAGUUGUAAAUUAGAGAAGUGCUAUCUGCGCUGGCCUGUGCAAAAGUCUCUUGGAAAAGAGCGUCAUAGAGGGUGACAAUCCCGUCUUUGGUACAGAGCUCCAGGGCUUCAUGAUGUGCUCUCAAUGAGUCGAGUUGUUUGGGAAUGCAGCUCUAAAUGGGUGGUAAAUUCCAUCUAAAGCUAAAUAUUGGCGAGAAACCGAUAGCGCACAAGUACCGUGAGGGAAAGAUGAAAAGAACUUUGAAAAGAGAGUUAAACAGUACGUGAAAUUGUUGAAAGGGAAACGCUUGAAGUCAG